RNAcentral lists this ribosomal RNA (372 nucleotides) under uncultured organism. Its description in RNAcentral is "bacterial SSU rRNA". It matches the Rfam family "Bacterial small subunit ribosomal RNA", at positions 526 to 896 of the family's 1533-position model. The record is from RNAcentral.
CGAGUGCUCCAAGCGUUAUCCGGAAUUAUUGGGCGUAAAGGGUGUGUAGGUGGUUGUGUUAGUCUUCUGUUAAAUUCUUCGGCUUAACCGGGGGCAUGCAGAGGAAACGGCACAACUAGAGGAUGCGAGAGGUGAACGGAACUCAUGGAGUAGGGGUGAAAUCCGUUGAUAUCAUGGGGAACACCAAAUGCGAAGGCAGUUCACUGGCGCACUCCUGACACUGAGACACGAAAGCGUAGGUAGCGAAUGGGAUUAGAUACCCCAGUAGUCUACGCCCUAAACGAUGACAACUAGCUUUUCGGAGUAUCGACCCUCUGAGAGGCGAAGCUAACGCGUUAAGUUGUCCGCCUGGGUAGUACGGCCGCAAGGCUA